This 301-nucleotide ribosomal RNA is filed under the name uncultured bacterium. Its description in RNAcentral is "partial 16S ribosomal RNA". It matches the Rfam family "Bacterial small subunit ribosomal RNA", at positions 509 to 807 of the family's 1533-position model. The record is from RNAcentral.
CAGCCGCCACGGUAAUACGUAGGUGGCAAGCGUUGUCCGGAAUUAUUGGGCGUAAAGGGCUCGCAGGCGGCUUCUUAAGUCUGAUGUGAAAGCCCCCGGCUCAACCGGGGAGGGUCAUUGGAAACUGGGAAACUUGAGUGCAGAAGAGGAGAGUGGAAUUCCACGUGUAGCGGUGAAAUGCGUAGAGAUGUGGAGGAACACCAGUGGCGAAGGCGACUCUCUGGUCUGUAACUGACGCUGAGGAGCGAAAGCGUGGGGAGCGAACAGGAUUAGAUACCCGCGUAGUCCCUGUCUCUUAUAC